Molecule: long non-coding RNA, 1152 nt
Organism: Passer domesticus (house sparrow)
Lineage: Eukaryota; Metazoa; Chordata; Aves; Passeriformes; Passeridae
Exons: 2
Source: RefSeq, a predicted model, not a curated record
GCCACCGCCCGCCCAGCGGGAGGUGCUCAGGGUCCAGCCCUGCAGCUUCCAGCAGCUCCACAGGGAGCAGCAGCCCCCAGCCUUCAACCCACGAGGCAGGAAAAGAGUUGUAGCCUUGUUUUUCCAAAACGUAAUGAAAAGUGACGUUUGAAGUAUUUUUCCACAAGGCUCUGUCAUUCUCAGCCAGAAAUUGUCAAGCCUAUUAGGAAGAGGAACCUAGAAGGCCAAAAAAUUCUCUGCCUGUUUUUUUUCCUGCAUGCUUCCUGUGAUGUUUGAUCCAAGGCAGCAAUAGAGAUCUGUGUCCUAGAGCCACAUUGUGGAGCCUGACCAAUAUGUUUGGAUUCUUGCAGCCACCCCAGGCACUUUAGCGUCCAGCACUCCAGCUGGCAGUGCUGGUUGUGCAGCAUUGACAGUGUCCAGCUCCACACAGAACACACCUGGGGAAGAGCAGUCACCAGUGGAUCUUGGCUUUGCCAUUGAGCAAAUGAUCCGGGAGAUCCCUGCCUGAAAGGUCUCUCUCUGCACAGGUAACUCCAUUGGAGGGGAAAGUAAGAGGCUGAGCUGAGAGCUUACAUGGAGAAGAAGAGAAACUGUAUCCCUGAUAUGAUUCCAAGAAAAUACCAAAUGAUCUUGAGUUUUCUUUCUUUCCAUUGUUCUUUCAAGGGCAAUAUUAAUGUUGUGCCUAAGUCUUCUGGAGGCGAGCCUGUGAACCAGGCUGCAGCAGAGGAAGCCUCAUCUGGCACUGAGAGGAACAGUUUGCCAGAGCCUGAGGAGCUUGAUCCUGUGUGAUCGACCUCUGCAGGAGGGCUGCCCUGUGUGGCAGGAAGAGACAGAGGGAGAGGCUGUGACCAUCGAGCAGGUAGAAUUCCUCUGUCUCUAGUUAUAUUUAUAGAUGCGCAUAGUUAUGUUUAUUUAUCUAGGUAGUUGUAUUUAUAGAUUUAUGUAAUUAUAUUUAUCUAUAUAGGUAGAGAUCUGUACAGUUAAUUUUUUUUUUGUUUUAGAUGUAUAUCGUUAUAGCUUUAGAUGUGUUGGUGUAGUUAUAGAUGUGCACAGUUGCACUUAUACCUGUGUAUAGUUACAUUUAUAUAUAUACAUUUGUAAAUGCAUAUUUAUAUUUGUAUAUGGGGGUUUAGCUAAAUAGAUUGAUAUCUG